This 766-nucleotide ribosomal RNA is filed under the name Flavobacterium sp. M3. RNAcentral describes it as "bacterial SSU rRNA". It matches the Rfam family "Bacterial small subunit ribosomal RNA", at positions 104 to 879 of the family's 1533-position model. The record is from RNAcentral. Lineage: Bacteria; Pseudomonadati; Bacteroidota; Flavobacteriia; Flavobacteriales; Flavobacteriaceae.
GGGUGUAACGUUAUGCAAUCUACCUUCCACAGAGGGAUAGCCCAGAAAAUUUGGAUUAAUACCUCAUAGUAUAAUGACUCGGCAUCGAGACAUUAUUAAAGUCACAACGGUAAAAGAUGAGCAUGCGUCCCAUUAGCUAGUUGGUAAGGUAACGGCUUACCAAGGCUACGAUGGGUAGGGGUCCUGAGAGGGAGAUCCCCCACACUGGUACUGAGACACGGACCAGACUCCUACGGGAGGCAGCAGUGAGGAAUAUUGGACAAUGGGCGCAAGCCUGAUCCAGCCAUGCCGCGUGCAGGAUGACGGUCCUAUGGAUUGUAAACUGCUUUUAUACAGGAAGAAACCCUGGUUCGUGAACCAGCUUGACGGUACUGUAAGAAUAAGGAUCGGCUAACUCCGUGCCAGCAGCCGCGGUAAUACGGAGGAUCCAAGCGUUAUCCGGAAUCAUUGGGUUUAAAGGGUCCGUAGGCGGUUUAGUAAGUCAGUGGUGAAAGCCCAUCGCUCAACGGUGGAACGGCCAUUGAUACUGCUAAACUUGAAUUAUUAGGAAGUAACUAGAAUAUGUAGUGUAGCGGUGAAAUGCUUAGAGAUUACAUGGAAUACCAAUUGCGAAGGCAGGUUACUACUAAUUGAUUGACGCUGAUGGACGAAAGCGUGGGUAGCGAACAGGAUUAGAUACCCUGGUGGUCCACGCCGUAAACGAUGGAUACUAGCUGUUGGAAGCAAUUUCAGGGCUAAGCGAAAGUGAUAAGUUCCCACCUGGGGA